AGUGUUAAAUUACAUGAGCAUCA
Molecule: small nuclear RNA, 23 nt
Filed under: Arabidopsis thaliana (thale cress)
Lineage: Eukaryota; Viridiplantae; Streptophyta; Magnoliopsida; Brassicales; Brassicaceae
Description: snRNA_01915
Source: RNAcentral